RNA transcript from Trifolium pratense (red clover), 3610 nucleotides. It is a transcript of the gene named dual specificity protein phosphatase PHS1-like, with no coding region annotated. The record is from RefSeq and is a predicted model, not a curated record. NCBI's taxonomy places the organism in Eukaryota, Viridiplantae, Streptophyta, Magnoliopsida, Fabales, Fabaceae. The transcript has 13 exons.
AUCAAUCACCAAACAAACACACAACAAAUUAUUGCUAUUAUUUGUGCCCUCUUUCUCUUCCCUCCAUCAUUGCUCUUCAAAAAUCAGUUUUUCCUCCCUCCGGUUACUAGCAGUUUUGCAGUUAACAACAAAAACACCAACAUGACAAAUCACCAACAAAACCAACACCCUCUAACACCAACACCAAUCAUUAACCAAAACCAGGGUAAAGAGCAGUUGGACUCUGAGGGAUCAUCGCCUCUAACAGUUACUUCCCGGGUUUUGUAUAUGUUGGGAGACAUCACUGCAGGGCCUGCACAUAUGUUCACUCAAUGGGUUCAAUCUGUUCGAAAACGCGCUUCCGAUCAUCGCUCUUCUGGAUUCCCUCGCUCUUCUUCCUCCAUCACGCCCUUUUGGUUUGGAGAAUCUGCAGAGGAUGCAAAAAUUGAUGACAUGCCUGAUCAAACUGAAAUUAGUUUGUGGGAUAGGCUUGGUAAAGCUGAAAUGUUGGACAUUGAAUCGAGUUCCUUUUCUUGGGAUAUGCUCUCGUCACUUCACCACACUGAGCAUACUAGUAGCAAUGAACAUUCCGAGGAUGAAAUGAAUAGAGCUCUUGAGCUAACCGUAAAUUCUGGAGGGGUUGUCUUCUUUGCCCUUUUCAAUGUCCAUGGGAGUGAUGAUGCAUCUCCAAAAGAAGCAGCAGCUGUCAUAAAGAUAUCUUCGUCAAGAAUGGCAACACAGUCCGAACGUCUCGGAUAUGAAUUUGCCAAGUGGUUGGGAGUCCAAACGCCACAGGCUAGAGUCAUUCACAAUACCAGUUUAGAAUGGCUCCAAAUAAAAGAAGCUGCAGAAAAAGCAAGGGAUGCAGCAAGUUGUGAGAGUGAUGCAAUUGGUGAAAGGACAUGUUCAGAACUUUUGGAAGCACUUGAGCUUAGCCGGUGUCUCUUGUUUAUAAGUUAUGUACAUGGUUCACCUUUGCUUGAAAGCUGUAAUGCAUUUGAAUCACAGGAUUCUGCAGAAAAAGUAUCAGCAGCCCUUGGCAGGGUAAUGAUGCUAGAUCUUGUUAUCAGAAAUGAAGAUAGGCUUCCAUGCCGUCAACUUAGAUGGCGUGGGAACCCUGCCAAUUUGUUAUUGGCUGAUAAGACAAUCUCUUCAAAUUUAGAUACAAUAGGAGAAGCCUUUGAUUUUGAAAUGAACCGAUAUGGGCCCGGGGUGGUUGGGACACUUCAGAAAGAAAGAAGGUCAACUUCAGUAGUUAGCAGAUCGAGUUCUCACAAUCAUGGAAUAAAAUCACAAGGCUCUCUUCUUUCACAGAUAAGUGAAUCAUCUGAUGACUUGUGCCUUAAAAGUCAAAAGUCAGAAGAAUCAUUGUUUACUGGCUCUAAGAUUGUGGCUAUUGACUCUGGUGUUCCUCGUCGACCCCCUGCUGGAAAACGUGCAGAUGAUCAGGUCAAUUAUCCUAAGUUGGUUGAGUUGAUACUAAAUAGCUCUGAAUUUUCCUCUUGCUUGUUAUAUGAUAUAACUGGAGGGAAAUUAGGAAGUCCUCCCUUAGAAGACAUAAAUACAACAGUCGAUGUACAAGGAAGUGAAGCAGCAUCAAUAGUUCACGAGUUCCGCAAUGGUUUUCGUGCUGCUCUUAGGGAUCUGCAAGGAUUUCAUAUAUUCCUACUUACACUUCACAAAAAACUUGAUAAUGUGUUACGAUCAUUUAAUAAUACUAUAAGCAAAAUACCAUUGGGGGACUCUGAAAAAGAAGAUUCACCGUCACCCGCUGCUGGUAGUUGUCUUUCUCCAACAAGUAAGGAGAGAUUUUCUAAUGACAGCCAUCGAGAUUUCAGUGAGACAGAUUCACAGAGAUCUGCUCCAAGGGCAUCACCAUCUUCAGGCAAUAGAGAUUUUUGUGAUUCUGCUUCUCCUAUGUCAAGAGAAGGUUGGCAUGGAAAAUCCUCUAAAGGAAGCGCGGAACCAUUGCUUGGUUCCCGUUUUACAGCCAAGCUCCGUGACUUUCAUAAAUUUGCCAAGGUUGAUGCAGAAUCUUAUAAAGAAUUGGAACACUGGAAUGAAAUGCUUAAAAAUGAUGCUAUCAAGUUUUGCCAGGAGAACAAUUUCAAUUCAGGAUUUUUUGAGGGUAGUGAUAGCAACACUGUUGUUGAUGCAUAUGAAUUGAAGGUUAGACUUGAGCACAUCCUUGAAAGGAUUACAUUGAUAUCCGAGGCUGCAAAUACAGAGAGACCAUCUGCUGUUACAAGUAAUUUGUUCAUCGGUGGAGCACAAUCUGCAAGAUCUGUAUACACAAUGCAACACUUGGGAAUCACUCAUAUUUUGUGUUUGUGUACUAAUGAAAUUGGACAAUCAGAUUCCCAAUUUCCUGAUCUGUUUACUUACAAAAAUUUCUCGGUGUGUGAUACUGAGAAUUCUGACAUCGGCGUCUUAUUUGACGAAGCUUGUGAUUUUAUAGAAGAUGUUGAGAAAGGAGGUCAGAGAGUUUUAGUUCAUUGCUUCGAAGGGAAAAGCAGAAGUGUCACUGUGCUCCUUGCUUACUUGAUUCUCAGAAAGAAUUUCACAUUAUUAGAAGCAUGGAAUGCUAUGAGAAAAGUUCACCGUCGAGCGCAGCCUAAUGAUGGUUUUGCAAAGAUCUUACAAGAACUUGAUAAAAAACUGCACGGGAAAGUUUCGAUGGAGUGGCAGCGGCGGAAACCAACAAUGAAAGUUUGUCCUAUAUGUGGCAAGAAUGCUGGACUGAGCAGCAGCUCACUUAAGCUACAUCUUCAGAAAUCUCAUAAAAGGCUAUCAUCAGGGAGUGUUGAUAGUGCCAUGACAAUGGAAAUCCAAAAGGCAUUAACCACUUUGAAUAUUAGCCGUGGUGGGAGUGUGAGCCCCAAACAAAGGCAAACUCACUCUAUGACAGACUAAUAUAUUUCUCUUUCUCUUGCAAUAAAAGAAAAAGAGGGUUAAAGCCCAAAACGAAAAGAACUAUAGAGUCAAACGAAUAUUCCCAGGCAUGCAAUCCCCGGAAAAAUCAUCAAAAAGGAGUCUCGAAACCUCACUGGGAGGAUUCUCCAUAACAUGAAUAUUAAAAGAGUCUAAGGAGAAGUUAAAAUUAGCCAGCCAAUCAGCACUUCUAUUCCCCUCCCGCCAGAGAUUUUGAGUCGCUUUCCACUUCCAGAUGAUGGAAACCCUGACUCCAAGCAAGCUUCAUUCCAAAGUACAUUCCCCACAUUUUAGCGCAAAGAGCGUCACAAGUUCCAAUUUUUCGCGCAUAUCCUUUAAUCCAUCUACCAUCAGAGUUCCGAAAGAGUCCACCACAACCAGCUAGACCCAAAGAAUUUUUGAAGGCUCCGUCACAGUUAAGCUUGAUCCACCCCUCCCGAGGUCUUUUCCAUCAAUGAAAAUAGUGUCGCAUCGACGGGUAUUCAAAGGAUGUCUGGUGUAAUUAUCUAUAUCAUCAACCAUCUUGAGAAUCUGAAAAUUGGAUCAGUCGGACGCUAAAAUUCCUCGAAUAUAUUUUUGUUCCUCCACAUCCGUAUGUACCAACACGCCACCAUAAAAGUUGUUAUCCACUUCUUAUUCUGAUUAUUGAUAUUCUUGAAGAUCCAAUCCCUGCAUUCAAGAGAGAAAAAAUUAGAGAUAU